This 93-nucleotide transfer RNA is filed under the name compost metagenome. RNAcentral describes it as "tRNA-Gly". The record is from RNAcentral.
GCAUGCCCUGAUACAGCGGCAACGGUAAGGCGCAACUGCCGAUUGCGCGGCUCUCGUCUUCCAGCACGAAUUGUUCGAUGCCACGGGCGCGCU